Molecule: ribosomal RNA, 560 nt
Filed under: Neogomphus edenticulatus
Lineage: Eukaryota; Metazoa; Arthropoda; Insecta; Odonata; Gomphidae
Description: partial 12S ribosomal RNA
Source: RNAcentral
GGUUAAUAUAGUGAAAUBAGUUAUUUUUAUAAAAMUAAUUAUUUGURGGUGAAAUUUUAAAUUUUUUAAUAAAUAUACUUUUUGAGGCUAUGAAAUUUAUUUUAAAAACAAGGAUUAGAUACCCUUUUAUUUUAGAUGUUAAUUUUAACUUGGGUAGUAAUAGUUAUGUUCUUGAAACCCAAAGAAUUUGGCGGUAUUUUAGUCCUUUCAGAGGAACCUGUCCCUUAAUCGACAGUCCACGAGAAGAUGUACUUGUAUUUGUUUUCAGUUUGUAUACCUCCGUCAUCAGAGAAUCUUUUUAGAGUUUAAUUUUCUUAAUAUAUUAAAUAUAGUAUGUCAGGUCAAGGUGCAAUUUAUAUAUAAGUGGAGAUGGGUUACAAUAAAAUUAUUUAAACGGAUUGAAAUAUUUAAUUUUUCAUGAAGGAGGAUUUGAUAGUAAUUUUAAUAUUUUGUUAAUUUGAUUUUUGGCUCUAAAAUAUGCACACAUCGCCCGUCGCUCUCAUUAUUAAAAUGAGAUAAGUCGUAACAUAGUAGGUGUAUCGGAAGGUGUACCUGGUUAG